GAGAGGUGCUUCAUAACACCUCCGAUGCAAAUAUUCUUUGCCCAGAUGACCUGAGUGCAAACUCCAUGCAUCACCCUUGCAGUAUUAGCACAGAGCUCCAUCGCUUGAGCUUCAGAGAGCCUAUUCAGCUAAGCAAACAAACCUUUCUGAGCGCCCAGCAGGGCUGGCAAUGGUCUUCGUGCUGGCUGCAGCUUAGGAGGGAGCUCAAAAAGAAAGAACUGGAUGGCAGCCAAGCAAUGGUAAAUGUUGGCUUCAGUUGGCUCGGUUUUCUGCACGGAUAAACCCGAAGACUACUGAUUAUGAUUCAUUCUGCUGGUCAGCUGGAACAUUCAGAUGCAGAAAUUGUUGAUUAGGGGCUCAGGAACUUAUGUUUAAUCUCAGAAGACCUUUCAGAGCUCACUGAUAUUUUUAGUGGCUCUGCAGUUACAACAUGUCAUGUGUUUUGGUGUUUGGUCUGGAUCCACUUCCGCCAACCCUUGGUGUUUCACUGCGUGUUGAAAACAAGUGACUUUAGUGGCUUUGAAUCUGACAAGUUAAUUGAUGGGCUGCCCCUUCGUUUCACCAUCUUGGGGUUUUCAGUCAUGUUAGCAGCACGCCUGUGGGGAUGGCAAUCUUGCUCUUUCAGUUGGAACACCAAAGGCCGAAUGCAAGCAAAAUAUUCCCAUCGGUCCCAGCUGUACUUUGUGGUGSUGCUAGUUUACAAAUGCAAAAAUUAGAUGGUAAUCAUCAUAGUAGUUUAAGCACUUAGAUUUUUAGAUCUGGUUUUGUGGCUAAUCUAAUCAAUAUCUAUUAGGAAACGAUUACCAGUACUAGUUCCAAAUAGUGAUCAGAAAAUAAUGUUAUAAACAUCUCAGAAUCACAGAGACUUAUUUUCUGCCUUCUCGAUGUAUUCACAUUUGUUCUGUAUCAAAAAGAAUACUGUUACUACUCAGACAUGCCUUGUAACUCUAACCCUUUUCAAGUGAGGAAGCACUUUUUACCCUGAAACUCUGCAGCAAAUACAUCUCCCUUCUUCUUAGAGGAGAUCUGUAAGAUUCGGGGGUCUGUAGCUUUGUUGUAUCGCCAUGUUGACUGUGUAGCACAGAAAUGAGUCUGGGAUGCAAAUUCAGAAGACUUUCACAAGUGAAGUUGGCAAAAAAUGUUUUAUGUUAUGUAACUGGUAUGUUCUCUUCUUUUACCUGUUUUACAGGGUGGCUUAAGGAAGUUGAGGAUCACUUUUAGACAUUCUGRUCAGCUUAUAGUAGUAUMUUAUAGUAUAAAUUGAAAAAAUUAAUUCUUAGGGUGCCAAUACAUGCAGAACUUGUAAUKUAUUAAAGAUAAUUUAAUUCUYAUCAUGCGGUCUUUACCUUACUGAAAUGUACUAGCAUGAGUAAUUGUCGUACUCCAGCUCCAAGGUUUAUUACACAUCUUUACCGGUUAUGCCAAUAAUAUGGAGGGGGCUGUAAACCUUUGUGAAAAACCCUGCAUGUCUAAACAAUUUUGAGAAAUUUACAUUUAAAAGAAAAAGUCCGUCAUAUAUUAAGAUGCAAACCUGUCUCGAUGGAUAAAUAAUUGAAAUCAUGAACAUGGGAAGGAAAAUAUUCACUUUGAUAGUCUGAAUUUAGAAUGUUUUCCUUACAAUAAUYAUCAUCCUGAAGUUUUUAGUGUGUAAAACUGAUCAUUUCAUGUGUAUGACACACUGCACAAAUCUAAGACCCACAAGGACCUCCAUGCCAGCUCCAGAUGUGGCGCCUGAACUUUUAUCUCAAGCAGUAGAGCCUCAACAAGGUUUGUUGAAAAGUUUCCCAAAAUGUGUGCCGUCCCAAAUUACACAACCGUGUUGUGCAGCAGCCAGCCUGUCUAGAAGCACGGACAACAAAGUUAAGUUGAGUGCCGCGGGGGCACUAGAGGCUGCGGACGCUGCCAUGUUUAAACCUGCUGAACAGAACGUGCUGUUCCUGCAGAAGGGAGAAACCGCUCAUAUACUUCUGACUGAAAAUCCAUCUCAGAUUCUCCGCUUUCCUAAAGCCAUCCUGAGUCUGACUUCACUUCCAGUUUGAAGUUUGAUGUGACUUUGAGGAACUUCUACAACGUCCAAAAGUGGUUAAACAAGUCAGUCAAUGCAAGACGUGCAGGACAGUAACCUUACUGUACACAGGUGGUGUGUUGUUGCCACCCCAUCCAGGAUGCCCCGGGUGGGGAGCCACAUCAUCCAUGUCAAAAACUGCCACUCCUUUCAGUCAGUUAAACAUCCCACCUCAUUCUGUUAGCCAACAUCAUUCACCUGCUGUACUCUGCAACAUGUUAAACAGUAAAGUCAUCCAACCAGUAUGAUUUUGUCCGUUUUUAAAACAGAGUUAUCGUUGAACUGGCUUUACAAAAACAAGAACUCAGUUUCUCUUCAGAAUGGUUCAGUGGUUUCAUACCACCUGUUUGUUGUUGUUCAGUCGACGUGUGUCAGUUUGUGGCAUCCAUGAUCCCAGAUGUGGCCAUGUUGAGACUUGCAAACAUGACCGUCACUAUUUAAAGUAACAACUCACAUUUUGAAAAUUGAACAGUAGACUUGGGUAUCCUCGCUCUGUGCAAAUACUAUGUGUAUCUCGAGACACUGCCAACAAUAAAAGACACGUGAGCUGCAAAUCUUAAUUCAAUAGGUAUCAGUCUAGUUUAGCUCAUUUAGGCUCAUCUGAAUACCACACAAUGUGAUGCAAUGAGAUCCGUUACUGAGAUGAAGACUGAAAAUGAUGACUUGCAACUGAAUGAAAAUAACCUUAAAAUAGAUUUUUAGGUAUAUUUCCUUUCAAUGUAGGUGUUGAGAUAUAACUAUUAGUCAGUCUCCAAGAACAAUUCAAGUAUCUACAGUGCAACAGAUGUGAAUGUCAGUUGUUAAUGAGCAGAAAAAAAAUUACAUUUCUACAUUUUGAAAAUUAGAAAAAUAAUCAGCCUCAUAGACUGUGGCAGUUAUAAUAACCACACAAGGACAAGAAGACUUAUAAUACUGAAAGAAUGACAAAUACAUUUUCAGUUUAAGUAAUCAAGAAAUAACUCAACUUUAUAAGAAAAAGCAAAAAUAAAAAAAGAAGUUUCACAAAAAAGCCCUGUGGCAAAGCCAAGUAAUGCAGAUACAACGUUGCAUAUACACGUACAUUCAUUAAGUUGCUUCUUCUGGAAUUAUCCAUGUGAUUAAGUUGGGAUAAAUUGUACGAAUGCAAGCUUUUCAAAGGGUUGCAUCUAGACUUCAUCCAACAUCUGAAUUCACAUUUGAUUGUUGCUGCUUUCCUAAUGAUGCCACAUAAUACAUGCGCACAUCUGUAGACUGGCCAUUUGAAAAGA
Poecilia reticulata (guppy) is the source of this 3312-nucleotide non-coding RNA. Lineage: Eukaryota; Metazoa; Chordata; Actinopteri; Cyprinodontiformes; Poeciliidae. The record is from RefSeq and is a predicted model, not a curated record.